GUAUAAAGUGGCGAACGGCUGAGUAACACGUGGGCAACCUGCCCUUUGCACUGGGAUAGCCUCGGGAAACCGAGGUUAAUACCGGAUACUCCAUAUUUGUCGCAUGGCGAAUAUGGGAAAGCUCCGGCGGCAAAGGAUGGGCCCGCGGCCUGUUAGCUAGUUGGUGGGGUAGUGGCCUACCAAGGCAAUGAUGGGUAGCCGGGUUGAGAGACCGACCGGCCAGAUUGGGACUGAGACACGGCCCAGACUCCUACGGGAGGCAGCAGUU
Molecule: ribosomal RNA, 268 nt
Filed under: uncultured Atopobium sp.
Lineage: Bacteria; Bacillati; Actinomycetota; Coriobacteriia; Coriobacteriales; Atopobiaceae
Description: partial 16S ribosomal RNA
Rfam family: Bacterial small subunit ribosomal RNA
Source: RNAcentral